This 368-nucleotide unclassified non-coding RNA is filed under the name Thaumatomonas zhukovi. RNAcentral describes it as "sequence contains 5.8S rRNA gene". Lineage: Eukaryota; Cercozoa; Imbricatea; Thaumatomonadida; Thaumatomastigidae. The record is from RNAcentral.
GAACGCAAAUUGCACUCUCGGGUAUACCCGGGAGUACGCUUCUUUCAGUAUCGGUUCUAUCUAAACUCGCCUGCGUUUUUUCGAAAACGAUAUGGCGGAAAUUGAGCGUCACAUUCUCGAGUGUGUUGCUUGAAGGGUAGAAACGGUAGUUCCCGUUUUUCUUUCGAGAAAAGCUCGUUGUUUACCUUCUCACGAAGGCUGAAACAAACUGAGUGACAUGGUUAAGUUCGCCUUGUGCGACACCACUAUGUCAACCCAUCUCAGAUUGGCUCAGGACAAUUGAGUGUGGAACAACUCUGCCGUUCUUUGGAUUAUCCAAUUAACAAAAUCAGAUCUGAAAUGAAGUGAGAGGACCCGCUGAACUUAAG